AAGUCUCGCUUUGUCAGCCAGGCUGGAGUGCAGUAUCGCGAUCUCAGUUCACGGCAACCUCCGCCUGCCAGGUUCAAGCGAUUCUCCUGCUUCAGCCUCCUUAGAAGCUGGGAUGUAAUCCCAGCCUGUAGGUGCCCGCCACCACACCGAGCUAAUUUUUGUAUUUUUAGUAGACACAGGGUUUUGCCAUGUUGGCCAGGCUGGUAUCGAACUUCUGGCCUCAACUGAUCCAGGCACCUCGGCCUCCCAAACUGCUGGGAUUACAGAUGUGAGCCACUGUGUCUGGCCCAAACUAUUUUAAUGUAAUGUAAUGUAAUGUAAUUUUCUGGAGACGGAGUCUCGCUGGGUUACCCAGGCUGGAGUGCAGUGGUGCGAUUUCGGCUCACUGCAACCUCCUCCUCUCGGGUUAAAGUGAUUCUCCUGCCUCAGCCUCCCGAGUAGCUGGGAUUAUAUAGGCGUGUGCCACCACGCCUGGCUAAUGUUUUUGUGUUUUUAGUAGAAACAGGGUUUCACCAUGUUGGCCACGCUGGCCACAUUGUUCUUUUUUUUUUUUUGAGACGGAGUCUCGCUCUGUCGCCCAGGCUGGAGUGCAGUGGUGCGAUCUCGGCUCACUGCAAGCUCCGCCUCCCAGGUUCACGCCAUUCUCCUGCCUCAGCCUCCGGAGUAGCUGGGACUACAGGCGUCCGCCACCACGCCCGGCUAAUUUUUUGUAUUUUUAGUAGAGACGGGAUUUCACCGUGUUAGUCAGGAUGGUCUCGAUAUCCUGACCUCGUGAUCCGCCCGCCUCGGCCUCCCAAAGUGCUGGGAUUACAGGCGUGAGUCACCGCGCUCGGCCUUUUUUUUUUUUUUUUUUUUUUUUAAUUGAGACGGAGUCUCGCUCUGUCGCCCAGGCUGGAGUGCAGUGGUGCAAUCUCUGCUCACUGCAACCCCGCCUCCCGGGUUCCAGCGAUUCUCCUGCCUCAGCCUCCCGGGUAGCUGGGAUUACAGGCGCCCGCCACCACGCCCGGCUAAUUUUUGUAUUUUUAGUAGAGACGGAGUUUCGCUAUGUUGGCCAGGCUGGUCUCGAACUCCUGGCCUGAGGUGAUCCACCCGCCUCGACCUCCCAAAAUGCUGGGAUUACAGGCGUGAGCCACCUCCCCCAGCUCCUUGCUUUCUAUUUCUACUGGGCAGUGCUGCUCAGUAACCAUGCCAGUCCCGUCCCCGCCUCUAUGCGCUGGGAUUCCGCAGCCAGAAUACUUACUUACAUCCCUGGGGCCCCAAGGGGCUCACUAAACCACGUGCCUUGUCCAGGUCGCGUUUUUUUGUUUUUGUUUGUUUGGUUUUUUCCUCCUGGUCUUGUCCUUUGUAAAGCCUUAGAACAGUCGUUAAACAACCCAGCAAAUAUGCAAUUCGCGUUUUCAGUAAAUUUAUCCAAACCGCAUUCCAUUCCUUACCCUCCUGCUUCUGCGCAGACAAGCGCCCUUGAUGACGUUUGUCCCACGUCGCUCUCCGUUCGCUCCCAGGCUUCUCUGCGCGUGCGCCUCCUCACACGCCUGCAGUUCACCACCACCGUGGUCUCCUGCUGUCCCGCGGAGCUGCAGACUGAAGGGAGCAACGGCAAGAAAGAAGUGCUGAGCGGUUUCCAAGUGGUGCUGGAAGACACAGUGCUUUUCCCUGAGGGCGGGGGACAGCCUGAUGACCGUGGUACAAUCAAUGACAUCUCUGUGCUGAGAGUGACUCGCCGUGGGGAACAGGCUGAUCAUUUCACCCAGACACCCCUGGAUCCAGGAAGCCAGGUUCUGGUCCGGGUAGAUUGGGAGCGGAGGUUUGACCACAUGCAGCAGCAUUCAGGGCAGCAUCUCAUCACGGCAGUUGCUGACCAUCUAUUUAAGCUGAAGACAACAUCAUGGGAGUUAGGGAGAUUUCGGAGUGCGAUUGAGCUGGACACCCCCUCUAUGACUGCAGAGCAAGUAGCUGCCAUUGAGCAGAGCGUCAAUGAAAAAAUCAGAGAUCGGCUGCCUGUGAAUGUCCGAGAACUGAGCCUGGAUGAUCCUGAGGUGGAGCAGGUGAGUGGCCGGGGUUUGCCUGAUGAUCAUGCUGGGCCCAUUCGGGUUGUUAGCAUCGAGGGCGUUGAUUCCAACAUGUGCUGUGGGACCCAUGUGAGCAAUCUCAGUGACCUUCAGGUCAUUAAGAUUCUGGGCACUGAGAAGGGGAAAAAGAACAGAACCAACCUGAUAUUUCUGGCUGGGAACCGGGUGCUGAAGUGGAUGGAGAGAAGUCAUGGAACUGAAAAAGCACUGACUGCUCUUCUUAAUUGCCUAAGAGACCUCCUCAGAAUAUCUCCUGGUCCCUGACUGCAGGGAGGCACCAUAGCAAGAAGGAAAUUAUUGAUUUAUGUCCCCAACAUCAGAAACGACUGGGAAGCUGUGCAGGUCUCCUCUGACCUUUCUCUUUCAGGUGUGGAGCAGAGGAUCAUGUGGAAGCAGUGAAAAAGCUCCAGAACUCCACCAAGAUCCUGCAGAAGAAUAACCUGAAUCUGCUCAGAGACCUGGCUGUGCACAUUGCCCAUAGCCUCAGGAACAGUCCAGACUGGGGAGGUGUGGUCGUAUUACACAGGAGACCCUCCUGUUCUUAACCGUGGGCGAUGAGAAAGGUGCUGGACUCUUCUUACUGGCAGGGCCACCUGCGUCUGUGGAGACCCUGGGGCCCAGGGUGGCUGAGGUCCUGGAAGGCAAAGGAGCAGGGAAGAAAGGCCGUUUUCAGGGCAAGGCCACCAAGAUGAGCCGGCGGAUGGAGGCGCAGGCGCUUCUCCAGGACUACAUCAGCACGCAGAGUGCUAAGGAGUGAGGGCUUAGGGCACUCACCUCCUGUUUCCACAGGAAUCUUUUGGUCAAUAAAAUAGAUUGACUCAGAA
RNA transcript from Pan troglodytes (chimpanzee), 2893 nucleotides. It is a transcript of the gene named alanyl-tRNA synthetase domain containing 1, with no coding region annotated. The record is from RefSeq and is a predicted model, not a curated record. Lineage: Eukaryota; Metazoa; Chordata; Mammalia; Primates; Hominidae. The transcript has 11 exons.